CAGUCGCCGCGGUAAUACGAAGGGUGCAAGCGUUACUCGGAAUUACUGGGCGUAAAGCGUGUGUAGGUGGUUGUUUAAGUCUGUCGUGAAAGCCCUGGGCUCAACCUGGGAAUUGCGAUGGAUACUGGGCGACUAGAGUGCGGUAGAGGAUAGUGGAAUUUCCGGUGUAGCAGUGAAAUGCGUAGAGAUGUGGAGGAAUACCGAUGGCGAAGGCAGCCCCCUGGGCCAAUACUGACGCUCAUGCACGAAAGCGUGGGGAGCAAACAGGAUUAGAUACCCCCGUAGUCCCUGUCUCUUAUAC
This 301-nucleotide ribosomal RNA is filed under the name uncultured bacterium. RNAcentral's name for it is "partial 16S ribosomal RNA". It matches the Rfam family "Bacterial small subunit ribosomal RNA", at positions 509 to 807 of the family's 1533-position model. The record is from RNAcentral.